This 645-nucleotide ribosomal RNA is filed under the name uncultured bacterium. RNAcentral describes it as "bacterial SSU rRNA". It matches the Rfam family "Bacterial small subunit ribosomal RNA", at positions 202 to 847 of the family's 1533-position model. The record is from RNAcentral.
UAAAGAUUCAUCGGCUGCGGAUGGCCAUGCGGCGCAUUAGCUAGUCGGCGGGGUAACGGCCCACCGAGGCGACGAUGCGUAGGGGUUCUGAGAGGAAGGUCCCCCACACUGGUACUGAGACACGGACCAGACUCCUACGGGAGGCAGCAGUGAGGAAUAUUGGUCAAUGGCCGGGAGGCUGAACCAGCCAAGUCGCGUGAGGGAAGACGGCCCUACGGGUUGUAAACCUCUUUUGUCAGGGAGCAAGAGGCGGGUCGAGACCUGCUGUGAGAGUACCUGAAGAAAAAGCAUCGGCUAACUCCGUGCCAGCAGCCGCGGUAAUACGGAGGAUGCGAGCGUUAUCCGGAUUUAUUGGGUUUAAAGGGUGCGCAGGCGGAGGCACAAGUCAGCGGUAAAAUCGCGGGGCUCAACCCCGCUCCGCCGUUGAAACUGUGUCCCUUGAGUGCGCGAAGGGUAGGCGGAAUGCGUGGUGUAGCGGUGAAAUGCAUAGAUAUCACGCAGAACUCCGAUCGCGAAGGCAGCCUACCGGCGCGCAACUGACGCUCAUGCACGAAAGCGUGGGUAUCGAACAGGAUUAGAUACCCUGGUAGUCCACGCAGUAAACGAUGAAUGCUAUCUGUCCGGCCGGAAUGACGGCUGGGUGGC